GUAAUGGCUCACCAAGGCAACGAUCCCUAGCUGGUCUGAGAGGAUGACCAGCCACACUGGAACUGAGACACGGUCCAGACUCCUACGGGAGGCAGCAGUGGGGAAUAUUGCACAAUGGGGGAAACCCUGAUGCAGCCAUGCCGCGUGUAUGAAGAAGGCCUUCGGGUUGUAAAGUACUUUCAGUAGGGAGGAAGGCAGUGUCGUUAAUAGCGGCAUGUUGACGUACCUACAGAAGAAGCACCGGCUAACUCCGUGCCAGCAGCCGCGGUAAUACGGAGGGUGCGAGCGUUAAUCGGAAUUACUGGGCGUAAAGCGCAUGCAGGCGGUCUGUUAAGCAAGAUGUGAAAGCCCGGGGCUCAACCUCGGAACAGCAUUUUGAACUGGCAGACUAGAGUCUUGUAGAGGGGGGUAGAAUUUCAGGUGUAGCGGUGAAAUGCGUAGAGAUCUGAAGGAAUACCGGUGGCGAAGGCGGCCCCCUGGACAAAGACUGACGCUCAGAUGCGAAAGCGUGGGGAGCAAACAGGAUUAGAUACCCUGGUAGUCCACGCCGUAAACGAUGUGCGUACUUGGAGGUUGUGCGCCUUGAGGCCGUGGCUUUCGGAGCUAACGCGUUAAGUAGACCGCCUGGGGAGUACGGUCGCAAGAUUAAAACUCAAAUGAAUUGACGGGGGCCCGCACAAGCGGUGGAGCAUGUGGUUUAAUUCGAUGCAACGCGAAGAACCUUACCUACUCUUGACAUCCAGAGAACUUACGCAGAGAU
RNAcentral lists this ribosomal RNA (760 nucleotides) under Photobacterium leiognathi. Its description in RNAcentral is "bacterial SSU rRNA". It matches the Rfam family "Bacterial small subunit ribosomal RNA", at positions 257 to 1007 of the family's 1533-position model. Lineage: Bacteria; Pseudomonadati; Pseudomonadota; Gammaproteobacteria; Vibrionales; Vibrionaceae. The record is from RNAcentral.